UAGGGAAUCUUCCGCAAUGGACGCAAGUCUGACGGAGCAACGCCGCGUGAGUGAAGAAGGAUUUCGGUUCGUAAAACUCUGUUGUUAGAGAAGAACAGCGCAUAGAGUAACUGUUAUGCGUGUGACGGUAUCUAACCAGAAAGCCACGGCUAACUACGUGCCAGCAGCCGCGGUAAUACGUAGGUGGCAAGCGUUGUCCGGAUUUAUUGGGCGUAAAGCGAGCGCAGGCGGUCAAUUAAGUCUGAUGUGAAAGCCCCCGGCUCAACCGGGGAGGGUCAUUGGAAACUGGGUGACUUGAGUGCAGAAGAGGAGAGUGGAAUUCCAUGUGUAGCGGUGAAAUGCGUAGAUAUAUGGAGGAACACCAGUGGCUAAGGCGACUCUCUGGUCUGUAACUGACGCUGAGGCUCGAAAGCGUGGGUAGCAAACAGG
This 429-nucleotide ribosomal RNA is filed under the name Bacteroidota bacterium. Its description in RNAcentral is "Bacteroidetes bacterium partial 16S ribosomal RNA". It matches the Rfam family "Bacterial small subunit ribosomal RNA", at positions 355 to 776 of the family's 1533-position model. Lineage: Bacteria; Pseudomonadati; Bacteroidota. The record is from RNAcentral.